This 207-nucleotide ribosomal RNA is filed under the name uncultured bacterium. RNAcentral's name for it is "partial 16S ribosomal RNA". It matches the Rfam family "Bacterial small subunit ribosomal RNA", at positions 568 to 774 of the family's 1533-position model. The record is from RNAcentral.
CAUGUAGGCGGAUUAAUAAGUUUGAAGUGAAAUCCUAUAGCUUAACUAUAGAACUGCUUUGAAAACUGUUAAUCUAGAAUGUGGGAGAGGUAGAUGGAAUUUCUGGUGUAGGGGUAAAAUCCGUAGAGAUCAGAAGGAAUACCGAUUGCGAAGGUGAUCUACUGGAACAUUAUUGACGCUGAGAUGCGAAAGCGUGGGGAGCAAACA